Molecule: ribosomal RNA, 392 nt
Filed under: uncultured bacterium
Lineage: Bacteria
Description: partial 16S ribosomal RNA
Rfam family: Bacterial small subunit ribosomal RNA
Source: RNAcentral
AUACGGAGGAUCCGAGCGUUAUCCGGAUUUAUUGGGUUUAAAGGGUGCGCAGGCGGCCAUUUAAGUCAGCGGUUAAAUCGUGGGGCUCAACCCCAUUCUGCCGUUGAUACUGGGUGGCUUGAUUGCGGUCGAGGUUGGCGGAAUUCGUUGUGUAGCGGUGAAAUGCACAGAUAUGACGAAGAACACCGAUUGCGUAGGCAGCUGACCAGAUCGCAAAUGACGCUCAUGCACGAAAGUGCGGGGAUCGAACAGGAUUAGAUACCCUGGUAGUCCGCACAGUAAACGAUGAAUACUUGUUUUCGGCGAUAUAAUGUCGGAGGCAAAGCGAAAGCGAUAAGUAUUCCACCUGGGGAGUACGCCGGCAACGGUGAAACUCAAAUGAAUUGGCGGGG